Lathyrus oleraceus (garden pea) is the source of this 486-nucleotide long non-coding RNA. RefSeq lists it as uncharacterized. The transcript is spliced from 2 exons. The record is from RefSeq and is a predicted model, not a curated record. Lineage: Eukaryota; Viridiplantae; Streptophyta; Magnoliopsida; Fabales; Fabaceae.
UUUAAAAUCGAUUCAUUCUUAUUGGAAGCGAGAACUACUCAAUUAAGGGUGCUAAUUUCUUGAAAAGAGCUUCAAAGGAGCUCCAAUGGCAGAAAAUGCACUUUUGCAUUCUGCAUAGGUGUGACAACCGUCAACUGCAUGACAAGAAACCUGUCAACAUGUUAAAAGGGAUGACAUUUGUCAGUAAAAUGGUGGUCAGACCAUCGGGUUUUUUUGGAGGGAUGAAGGACGAGGCAAGUGAUGAAGGAUGACGUAGAGGGAUGACGACCGCCAUGGCCUUGGAACAAAUCUUCAUGGUAUGGGCGGUCAGUUUUGACGCGCCGAUUCAGAUUUUCGAUGAUGUUUCUGAAGUCGGUGAUUUAUUAAUGUUGUUUUAUGGUGUUUGAUGUUUUGAGAUGUGAAUCGAUAUGCUCUAAAUAUUAUUGAAUGAGUAAUUAUUGAUAAACUGUGAGUUUGCUUAAAUGUUAACUUGCAUUAUUGAAUUAA